RNAcentral lists this ribosomal RNA (253 nucleotides) under uncultured bacterium. RNAcentral describes it as "partial 16S ribosomal RNA". It matches the Rfam family "Bacterial small subunit ribosomal RNA", at positions 524 to 776 of the family's 1533-position model. The record is from RNAcentral.
UACGUAGGGGGCAAGCGUUGUCCGGAUUUAUUGGGCGUAAAGAGCGUGUAGGCGGUCAGGUAGGUCCGUUGUGAAAACUCGAGGCUCAACCUCGAGACGCCGAUGGAAACCAUCUGACUAGAGUCCGGAAGAGGAGAGUGGAAUUCCUGGUGUAGCGGUGAAAUGCGCAGAUGUCAGGAAGAACACCCGUGGCUAAGGCGGCUCUCUAGUACGGUACUGACGCUGAGACGCGAAAGCGUGGGGAGCGAACAGG